GUAGAAGUUGACUUAUGUUACAAGUGGCUGGACGUCGAUCUCCGCAAAGCUGCCACUGAAGGACAGAAUCCAAAAGGCGUGCUUGAAGGACUCGCUGAGAAAGCAAAGCAGAGAUUCGUCGAAUUCAGAAAGAACGAUCCAAAUGCUUGUUUGAAGGAUUCACCUUCAAAAUGGCCUACCAAUAUGUUGGCAACAAACUGUAUGUACAGAGUAUGUCAAACUCUUCUGCAAAGUUCUGAUAGCAAAGCAUUUGAGAACAGCAAAACCAUGUUUGACAGAU
This 280-nucleotide unclassified non-coding RNA is filed under the name Hevea brasiliensis (rubber tree). The record is from RNAcentral. Lineage: Eukaryota; Viridiplantae; Streptophyta; Magnoliopsida; Malpighiales; Euphorbiaceae.